GUUUUCUCUAUCGUCCCUUUAACCUUAGGGUUUCAUAUCCUUUUUUGUCAAACCAUUCAUCUCUCGUGCUUUCCACUUUCUCUCAACAAUUCUUCCCCAAAUGAUUAGGGUUUUGUCUCUGGCAUGCUCCUAACGUUCUUUUACCGUUGUACACCGGCCUUUAUCCGGUGGAACGUCCGUUAUACAACCGGUGGUCGAUGUACUCGGUUGAAUCGGCCAUUGCGUGAUGAUGCUUUUUCUGCCUUUGUUAAAUGGUCCGCCUAAAAAUGUUUUGAUUGCUCGCAACCGAUGUACGUUCAGUUGAAGAAUGCGGCUGAUUUCUAGCAACUCGAGUUGGUGGAUGCUCGAUAUCGAUUUAAGACACAAUGCUCGGUGAUCUUAAGUGAUGAUUGUUGCUUUAUUUUACUCCGGUUGAAUGUUUGAUGGUGGUUGCUGGCGAUCUGAAGUUGAUGAUUAAAUCAACAAAUUAAAGAUACAUUUAAGCAUAAAAAUGGAUCUCAACAUUUGGACUCGAGGUCACCUAAAUGGAUUAACUGGGAAUGUGUGGAGGAACAAAAGUAUGGAUUGAACACUGGUUAUGAAAGGAGAGCAAUUGCGUGUCUUAAGAGCAAAAUAAGGUUUUGGUGCUAAAGAAAUAGAAUUUUGCAAUUUAACGGUUUAUUUUUCUAAUUAAAUUCUAGGCAACUUAUUUUAUGUUUAUAGAUAGAUCAUGGGUUUAUGUUUGUAAUUAAAUGUCCACGUUUCUAGAUAACUUAUUUUCUGUUAUAUAUAGAUAGAUCGUGGGCUAAUUUGUAGGAGCAAGUCAAUCUUAGAUAGAACGGGCCUAAAAAAACCUUCCCUUCUAGAAGCUUUUCAGAAUUAUAACGGCCAGGAUUUAGCCUCAUUUUGAUCCAAUGGUUGAUAUUGCAUUUUGUUCCCUUUGACUUUAAGGGGAACAUAAGAAUAUAUAAUGGCCAAUUCCUGAUCAAUAUCCAUGGCUAAUCAAGGUAUAAUCUACCAAGAAUGCAAGUCAACUGGAUUAACUGUUUGAGCUUAUGAUCAACAUCUAUGGCUAAUUAAGGUAUCUCCACAAAGAAUGCACAAAGAAUGACCUUUCAGUUUGUCAUCCACAAAACAAAUGUCCAACUGCCCCUUCUAUUUGACCUUGUGUUAUGAUCAACAUCUAGUCCUAAUCAAGGUAUAAUCCACAAAGAAUGCACAUUAACCAGUUAAACAAAACAUGAUCCAUAAUCCAAAAUAUGUUUAUAACCAGUUAAACAAAACAUCAUCCAUAAUCCUAAAUCAGUAAAAUUAGACAAUCAUCCAUAAUUAUUUAAACAAAAUACAUCCAUAAUACUCCUACACUUCAGUUAUUAAGUAAACUAUUCAAUCCUCUAAUUUCCAGGUGGAUACCGGAAGUUGAGGAAUGGGCGACCAUACAAGGUAAUCACCACAUGGAUCACUAGAGCUAUGACAGAAAUGUUCAUCCUCACAUU
Molecule: long non-coding RNA, 1475 nt
Filed under: Helianthus annuus (common sunflower)
Lineage: Eukaryota; Viridiplantae; Streptophyta; Magnoliopsida; Asterales; Asteraceae
Description: hypothetical non coding rna
Source: RNAcentral